CCCUCAGCCCGGCCCCCCGGGCCGCCGCCAUGGCGGGCGGAGCGCGCCGCCUGUACCGCCGCAUCCUGCAGCUGCACCGCGCGCUGCCGCCCGCCCUGCGCGACCUGGGCGACCGCUACGUCAAGGAGGAGUUCCGGAGGCACAGGGCGGUCGGGCCCGCCGAGGCGCAGCGCUUCCUGCGGGAAUGGCAGGCAAGUGGCCGCCGCCCCGCGGGGCAGGGACGCGGCCGGCAGCGGCGGGGCGCAGGGCGGGCCCGGCAAGGCAGGCUGCUUCUGCUCCAAAUGUUAAUGCUUUCUUUACCUCUAAGUGAAGACCAUGGCACUUGGCUGUGGAAGAACCUGUGAGGGUGCCAUAGCACAGUGCUGAGCUCACCUGACCAAACUUCAUGUGGUACAUCCCCAUUUCUGAAAGGUUUCAUGGCUCUGGUAUUUUCUUCACAUGCUUUUUAAAAUAUUGAGGUAAAUUAACUUCUAUUCCAGUCUGCUUGGGGCCAGACAGACUAUUUUUGCAGAAAAAGGAGAUGUUCUAGAACUAUGCAGCACUAAUCCAGCAACAAAUUAAUGAGGACAAACAAAACUUGAGAGAAAAG
RNA transcript from Oenanthe melanoleuca, 589 nucleotides. It is a transcript of the gene named succinate dehydrogenase complex assembly factor 3, with no coding region annotated. NCBI's taxonomy places the organism in Eukaryota, Metazoa, Chordata, Aves, Passeriformes, Muscicapidae. The record is from RefSeq and is a predicted model, not a curated record. The transcript is spliced from 3 exons.